RNAcentral lists this ribosomal RNA (338 nucleotides) under uncultured soil bacterium. Its description in RNAcentral is "bacterial SSU rRNA". It matches the Rfam family "Bacterial small subunit ribosomal RNA", at positions 26 to 381 of the family's 1533-position model. The record is from RNAcentral.
AGAGCGAACGCUGGCGGCAUGCUUAACACAUGCAAGUCGCACGGUCGGGGGUAACUUCGGCAGUGGCGGACGGGUGAGUAACGCGUAGGAAUUUAUCCAAGGGUGGGGGAUAACCGCGGGAAACUGUGGCUAAUACCGCAUGACGACUGAGGUCUAAAGCUUGCGAGAGCGCCUUUGGACGGAGCCUGCGCCUGAUUAGCUAGUUGGUGAGGUAACGGCUCACCAAGGCGACGAUCAGUAGCUGGUCUGAGAGGAUGAUCAGCCACAUUGGGACUGAGACACGGCCCAAACUCCUACGGGAGCAGCAGUGGGGAAUAGUUGGACAAGUGGGACGAAAA